RNAcentral lists this long non-coding RNA (303 nucleotides) under Vigna radiata. RNAcentral's name for it is "long non-coding RNA (VRAD_LNC011151)". Lineage: Eukaryota; Viridiplantae; Streptophyta; Magnoliopsida; Fabales; Fabaceae. The record is from RNAcentral.
ACUUGCAUGAUUAGACUCAUACACCUUUAGGAAUUUGUCAAAUCUCGCAUUUAAGUCCCUAACAACUUCUGUCAAGUGAGUAACCUGUUGCCACAUAGGUGAUGGUUGCUGCGGCCUGAAACCACCUGUUUGCCCUGAUGGGUUGUUCUGUGUCUAACAAAUACUCGGAUGAUUCUUCCAACCUUGGCUAGAAUUGCCUUGGUUGAAGUUCCCUUGCCUGUACUUUAACUGAUUCCCCAUAUAAUUGGCUUCCUGCUGCAUCCCCUUAGGCAAAGUACAUUGACCAUUGAUACGGUCACCACC